UGAAGGUGGCAUAAAUGAGGAUCAGGCACUGAUACCCUGCCACACAGACCCAUCUGCAUACUUGGAAUGUCCUAAAGCCACAGGAAAAGGAAAUCAAAUCCUCUUAACAGUAACAGUGUGAUUUGCAAAAUGAGAUGUUUUCUUUGAAUAUUUAAUCAUGACUGCAACAUGCUCCAAGAGAAAAACGAAAUCAAUGACAACAGCAGCAACAGAAAUUAACAUUUUGUGGCAUAUUAAAGAUUUCCAAAUUGUUUACAGGUUCAGAUCCCACACUUAAAUAUUUUUAAAUGUAAAGAGUUUAUUCAAAUUGAUCAGAAAUAGAGAAAUAGUCAAUUGACUAACAAGUAUAUGAGCAGACAAGACCCUGAAAACUCCAAAUAAUUAAUAUGAAAACGUACCUUGAAUGAUAAAUAGGAAAUGGACCUUGGUUGAUGUAGCAGUUCUCUUUAAAGCAUUUUCCUAUCACAAAAGCAGAAUAGAAGGAAAAUAUAUCAACCAUGAACUGGCUCUUCAGGUUUCUGUUCAGAAGCGACAAAUGUCACAUUUCACUAGCCCCGGCAAAUCAUCUCAUGAUGUCUGAGAGGAACGAUUGACCAACCCCAAUGUGGUCAGAAACCGCACUUGGCAAGCUGACAGAAGAGAUUGGGUGGAAAGAGAAGGCUGACCACAUCCCUGUCCUUGACCACAGAUGACCCAAGAGGAACAGGUUAACAUUUGCAUGGGAGUGGGCAUUCCAAUGACCAG
Long non-coding RNA from Panthera uncia (snow leopard), 744 nucleotides. RefSeq lists it as uncharacterized. The record is from RefSeq and is a predicted model, not a curated record. The transcript has 5 exons. NCBI's taxonomy places the organism in Eukaryota, Metazoa, Chordata, Mammalia, Carnivora, Felidae.